AGAGUUUGAUCAUGGCUCAGAUUGAACGCUGGCGGCAUGCCUUACACAUGCAAGUCGAACGGCAGCACGGACUUCGGUCUGGUGGCGAGUGGCGAACGGGUGAGUAAUACAUCGGAACGUGUCCUGGAGUGGGGGAUAGCCCGGCGAAAGCCGGAUUAAUACCGCAUACGCUCUAUGGAGGAAAGCGGGGGAUCGCAAGACCUCGCGCUCAAGGGGCGGCCGAUGGCAGAUUAGCUAGUUGGUGGGGUAAAGGCCUACCAAGGCGACGAUCUGUAGCUGGUCUGAGAGGACGACCAGCCACACUGGGACUGAGACACGGCCCAGACUCCUACGGGAGGCAGCAGUGGGGAAUUUUGGACAAUGGGCGCAAGCCUGAUCCAGCAAUGCCGCGUGUGUGAAGAAGGCCUUCGGGUUGUAAAGCACUUUUGUCCGGAAAGAAAACUUCCUGGUUAAUACCCGGGGAGGAUGACGGUACCGGAAGAAUAAGCACCGGCUAACUACGUGCCAGCAGCCGCGGUAAUACGUAGGGUGCAAGCGUUAAUCGGAAUUACUGGGCGUAAAGCGUGCGCAGGCGGUUCGUUAAGACAGAUGUGAAAUCCCCGGGCUUAACCUGGGAACUGCAUUUGUGACUGGCGGACUCGAGUAUGGCAGAGGGGGGUAGAAUUCCACGUAGCAGUGAAAUGCGUAGAGAUGUGGAGGAAUACCGAUGGCGAAGGCAGCCCCCUGGGCCAAUACUGACGCUCAUGCACGAAAGCGUGGGGAGCAAACAGGAUUAGAUACCCUAGUAGUCC
Molecule: ribosomal RNA, 791 nt
Filed under: uncultured bacterium
Lineage: Bacteria
Description: bacterial SSU rRNA
Rfam family: Bacterial small subunit ribosomal RNA
Source: RNAcentral